GAUGAACGCUAGCGGCAGGCUUAACACAUGCAAGUCGAGGGGCAACACGGGUAGCAAUACCUGGUGGCGACCGGCGCAAGGGUGCGUAACGCGUGAGCAACAUGCCCUAUACAGGGGGAUAAUCCAGGGAAACUUGGUCUAAUAUCCCAUAGUAUUUAGAGGUGGCAUCACCACUAAAUUAAAGCUUCGGUGGUAUAGGGAUUGGCUCGCGUGACCAUUAGCUGGAUGGUGGGGUAACGGCUCACCAUGGCGAUGAUGUCUAGGGGUUCUGAGAGGAAGACCCCCCACACUGGGACUGAGACACGGCCCAGACUCCUACGGGAGGCAGCAGUGAGGAAUAUUGGACAAUGGAUGGAAAUCUGAUCCAGCCAUGCCGCGUGCAGGAAGACGGCCUAUGGGUUGUAAACUGCUUUUAAUGGGACUAAUAGGUUUACGCGUAGACCGAUGAGAGUACCAUAUGAAUAGCAUCGGCUAACU
RNAcentral lists this ribosomal RNA (477 nucleotides) under uncultured bacterium. RNAcentral describes it as "bacterial SSU rRNA". It matches the Rfam family "Bacterial small subunit ribosomal RNA", at positions 28 to 502 of the family's 1533-position model. The record is from RNAcentral.